Molecule: long non-coding RNA, 879 nt
Filed under: Ovis aries (sheep)
Lineage: Eukaryota; Metazoa; Chordata; Mammalia; Artiodactyla; Bovidae
Description: lncRNA (ENSOARG00000026451.1)
Source: RNAcentral
GAAACCACCAGGACGUCCUGUGCGGGCAACUCAACAAGCCUCUAUAACCAUGUGGGGGCAAAUUAAGUCACUCUGCCACCAAGCGCAGGGAAUAGCUUCUCUACAGGGAUCUUCAGCCUCUCCUGAAAAGGUUUUUAUUGCUAUUCUUGCUUUAUUAUCUUGCCAGGUAAGUGCUACCCCUUCUACAUUGGAAAAAUAAUGGGCAUAUUUCCCUGAUCCCCCGACCUUCCAAGUAGUUACUUGGAACAGGACCCUAUAUGGGUCCACACAAACCAGCCUCAUCUCUUGGGAGGAUCCUCCACUUCCUAUGAUAAAGAUCAUUAUCCUAUUAAUUUUAAUUAUACCUUUAGGGGAUUAACAGAUGAUCUUCCAGUUUGCUUUAACUUCCCUUCUAGCCAUACAAAAAGCUUUAUUAUUCCCACUAAAAACGGAUGUAUUGGAGCCUUCAAAAAGGCAAUUCUGACAGAUUCCCCAACAUCAAAAUUUACAUAUAAAAAAGGGGACUGGUCAGUUUGGAUAUUACAAGCUCGUAUGCCCAGGGUCCUUGACCCCUAUAAAUCCUUGUUUUUCAACGCUCCACCGAAAUAUCCAAAUUGUAUUGAUGUUGCUCCUUUAGACAUCGUAGGGAAAACUAUUGACCACCGCCUAGGAUACCCGCCAACAGAUGGCACCAUAAUCAAUUUGUUCCCCCCAUGUUGUCCUAUACAGCUAAGGGCAAGACCUGAUGGCAACCAGAAAUUUGGAAAGCCCUUGCUGCCACCUCUCUUGUCACCCUAUCCCGGCCAGAAAACGACUCUACCUAUUCUGUACUUGCCUGCUUACCCUCCCCUUACACUUUUCUAUGCACUAACGACUCCAAAAGGCUUCAUAUACAGAUGA